Molecule: ribosomal RNA, 492 nt
Filed under: uncultured bacterium
Lineage: Bacteria
Description: bacterial SSU rRNA
Rfam family: Bacterial small subunit ribosomal RNA
Source: RNAcentral
GACGAACGCUGGCGGCGUGCUUAACACAUGCAAGUCGAGCGGAAAGGCCACUUCGGUGGUACUCGAGCGGCGAACGGGUGAGUAACACGUGAGUAAUCUGCCCUCCACUUUGGGAUAAGCCUCGGAAACGGGGUCUAAUACCGGAUAUGACUGCCUGGCGCAUGCUGGGUGGUGGAAAGUUUUUUCGGUGGGGGAUGUGCUCGCGGCCUAUCAGCUUGUUGGUGGGGUAAUGGCCUACCAAGGCUUCGACGGGUAGCCGGCCUGAGAGGGUGACCGGCCACACUGGGACUGAGACACGGCCCAGACUCCUACGGGAGGCAGCAGUGGGGAAUAUUGGACAAUGGGCGGAAGCCUGAUCCAGCAACGCCGCGUGAGGGAUGACGGCCUUCGGGUUGUAAACCUCUUUCAGCGGGGACGAAGCGCCGAUGAUGGUGGUGACGGUACCCGCAGAAGAAGCACCGGCCAACUACGUGCCAGCCGCCGCCGUAACAC